GUCCUCGUAGCUCAGCUGGUAGAGCGUGCGAUGUACAGAAGCGUACGCGGCAUCCAUGCGUAGGUUCGAAUCCCACCGAGGCUA
Molecule: transfer RNA, 84 nt
Filed under: Echinostoma caproni
Lineage: Eukaryota; Metazoa; Platyhelminthes; Trematoda; Plagiorchiida; Echinostomatidae
Rfam family: tRNA
About the family: Transfer RNA (tRNA) molecules are approximately 80 nucleotides in length.
Source: Rfam by way of RNAcentral